RNAcentral lists this ribosomal RNA (433 nucleotides) under uncultured bacterium. RNAcentral describes it as "partial 16S ribosomal RNA". It matches the Rfam family "Bacterial small subunit ribosomal RNA", at positions 29 to 507 of the family's 1533-position model. The record is from RNAcentral.
AACGAACGCUGGCGGCAUGCCUAACACAUGCAAGUCGAACGAGACCUUCGGGUUUAGUGGCGCACGCGUCCGUAACGGGUGGGAACAUGCCCAUAAGUUCGGCAUAAAUUCCCGAAAGGGGUGCUGAUACCGGCUAUUGUCCUCCAUCCAAAGAUUGAUCGCCAUUGGAUGGGCUUGCGUUGGAUUAGCUAGAUGGUAGGGUAAAAGCCUACCAAGGCGACGAUAGAUAGAUGGUCAGAGAGGAUGGUCAGCCACACUGGGACUGAGGCACGGUCCAGACUCCUGGAGGAUGCAGCAGAGGGGGAUAUUGGAAUAUGGGCGGAAGCAUGAACGAGUUAUGCUGGUAGAGUGAUUAAGGCCGGAGGGUUGUAAAGCACGUUUAUCCGGGAUGAUAAUGACAGUACCGGGAGAAUAAGCUCCGGCUAACUCCGUG